Molecule: transfer RNA, 65 nt
Filed under: Dipodomys ordii (Ord's kangaroo rat)
Lineage: Eukaryota; Metazoa; Chordata; Mammalia; Rodentia; Heteromyidae
Rfam family: tRNA
About the family: Transfer RNA (tRNA) molecules are approximately 80 nucleotides in length.
Source: Rfam by way of RNAcentral
GGUGGCUCAGUGGUAGAGUGCUUGCUUUGUAUGCAUGAAGCCCUGGGUUCGAUUCCUCAGCACCA